RNAcentral lists this small RNA (106 nucleotides) under Marmota monax (woodchuck). The record is from RNAcentral. Lineage: Eukaryota; Metazoa; Chordata; Mammalia; Rodentia; Sciuridae.
GCCAGGUGUGGUGGCACGUGCCUGUAAUCCUAGUGGCUAGGGAGGCUGAGGCAGGAGGAUCAUGAGUUCAAAGUUGCUGAGGCAACUCAGAGAGACCCUGUCUCUA